UAGAGCUGUCCUGAGUCAAACUAUUUUAAGUUUGACCAACUUUAUAGAAAAGAACACUAACAUGUAUGACAUCAAACAAGUAUAUUAUGAAAAUAUAUUUCAUGAUGUAUCUAAUAAUACAAAUUUGGUGCCAUAAACACUAGUGCUCCUUUUAAUAAAUUCACUCAAACCUAAUGUUUGACUUAGGACAACUUUAG
This 197-nucleotide microRNA precursor is filed under the name Sorghum bicolor (sorghum). Its description in RNAcentral is "MIR1435 microRNA precursor family". It matches the Rfam family "MIR1435 microRNA precursor family". The record is from Rfam by way of RNAcentral. Lineage: Eukaryota; Viridiplantae; Streptophyta; Magnoliopsida; Poales; Poaceae.